UACGUAGGGUGCGAGCGUUGUCCGGAAUUACUGGGCGUAAAGAGCUCGUAGGCGGUUUGUCGCGUCGUCUGUGAAAACUCGAGGCUCAACCUCGAGCUUGCAGGCGAUACGGGCAGACUUGAGUACUGCAGGGGAGACUGGAAUUCCUGGUGUAGCGGUGAAAUGCGCAGAUAUCAGGAGGAACACCGGUGGCGAAGGCGGGUCUCUGGGCAGUAACUGACGCUGAGGAGCGAAAGCGUGGGUAGCGAACAGG
This 253-nucleotide ribosomal RNA is filed under the name uncultured bacterium. RNAcentral describes it as "partial 16S ribosomal RNA". It matches the Rfam family "Bacterial small subunit ribosomal RNA", at positions 524 to 776 of the family's 1533-position model. The record is from RNAcentral.